This 259-nucleotide ribosomal RNA is filed under the name uncultured bacterium. RNAcentral's name for it is "partial 16S ribosomal RNA". It matches the Rfam family "Bacterial small subunit ribosomal RNA", at positions 74 to 334 of the family's 1533-position model. The record is from RNAcentral.
CUUGCAAACUAAAGAUGGCGACCGGCGCACGGGUGAGUAACACGUAUCCAACCUGCCGAUAACUCGGGGAUAGCCUUUCGAAAGAAAGAUUAAUAUCCGAUAGUAUAUUAAAACCGCAUGGUUUUACUAUUAAAGAAUUUCGGUUAUCGAUGGAGAUGCGUUCCAUUAGUUUGUUGGCGGGGUAACGGCCCACCAAGACUACGAUGGAUAGGGGUUCUGAGAGGAAGGUCCCCCACAUUGGAACUGAGACACGGUCCAA